UUUAGUUUAGCACAAAUAGCAUUAGUAUAGCGCAAGUUUAUUACUUUCUAUUUUGUUUUUUUUUUUUUGGAUAAGAAAGUGAUUGAUAGUGAGAGAAAGAAAGAUAGUGCAUAAGCUACUGGUUUUUAUGUUUUUUGAGAAAGAAAAGAAUAGUAAGAGAAAGAUAGAUAAAAAAAGUAAGAAAUGGAAAUAGUAUGUCGUCAUAUUAUAUAGUAUGCGGUGUUCGUGAAGAAAAAAGAUGAUAUUCUAAAAGUAAUGAUCUUUAAGAACUGGAUUCAAGGAUUGGAGAAUAAAUUUUAAACAUUAGAGCAAAACUAGAAAAAACUACCUUUAAGUGGUCUACAAUGUAUAAAUCCGAAGUAUAUCGUAUAAUGGAACGUCGUAGGAUGUUAUGUUCCUGAAGAUUCACAUUUCGAAAUAGUUGUCAAAAAUAUUACACAAUACUAUACAAUAGUAGUAAAAUGAUUAUUUUUUCCAAGAAUUUACGUCACGUUUGAAUCGAUGUGCAUAAAACUCUAGCAGCAAUAAAUGAAGGAUGCUAAUAUUGAUGCACAAAAUAUUAUAUUAUGAAACAUCAGGUCCGCUUAAACGAAUUAUUCGUGAGAGAGAACGUCUAUAGAUGGAUACAUGUCGUGAGAAGUUUGCAACUGCUACUCUGAGAAUAAAGAGACAAGAAGAGAGACUACAUUGAUUUUUGUCAACUUGUACACCAACAACAAAUAAUCUAUAUGGUGACGAUUUGGAUAUGUACUUAUUACAAGCUCAAUGGACCAUCAAUAAUGUGGAAAAUGGUGUAAUAGAGUGAACGUCGUAAAAAAUUAACUACUCAUUCUUCGACAAUUUUUGAUGAGAUAAUGGAACUGCACUUGUGGAUCUACAAUUCUGAUGAUUAGAAAAAAAGGUGCUAGAUUCUCCAUGCGAAUUCAUCAUCAUCACUAGCUUGGCGUAAGGAACGCAAUUAAACGCUCUCUCGUACUUACUCUCUUUACAAUACAA
Long non-coding RNA from Vespula vulgaris, 996 nucleotides. RefSeq lists it as uncharacterized. The transcript has 4 exons. The record is from RefSeq and is a predicted model, not a curated record. NCBI's taxonomy places the organism in Eukaryota, Metazoa, Arthropoda, Insecta, Hymenoptera, Vespidae.